Macaca mulatta (Rhesus monkey) is the source of this 884-nucleotide non-coding RNA. NCBI's taxonomy places the organism in Eukaryota, Metazoa, Chordata, Mammalia, Primates, Cercopithecidae. The record is from RefSeq and is a predicted model, not a curated record.
GGCGCCCUGGGGUCGCCGCGCCAGGAGCUCAGGGGAGGCACCUCCCCUCCUCCGUGUCUCCGCAUGGCCCUAGGGCUCCCCACAGAGGGAGCCGGGGCCUCCCGCCCACGACCGCGGAGCGGCCCCUUCCCGCGUGGCGGGGCCAGCGAGCUCCUCUUGCGGGGCGUGGACGGGGCCGGGGUGCCCGGCAUACAAGCUUAUGGAGCAGCCCCCUUUGAAGAUCUCCAGGUGGACCUCACAGAGAUGCCACAGUGUGGCGGUAACAAGUGUUUGCUAGUUCUUGUGUGUACCUGCUCUGGGUGGGUGGAGGUUCAUCCAACACGAACUGAGAAAGCUCCUGAAGUAACCCGUGUGCUUCUUCGAGAUCUUAUUCCUAGAUUUGGACUGCGCUUACGGAUCGGCUCAGAUAACCGGCGGGGGUUUGUGGCUGACUUGGUACAGAAGACAGCAAAGGUGACCCAGUGUGGAUCAAGGACUAGAACGUAGCCUCUUUGUGCCCAUGGUGGAAAGGACCCCAGACUGUCGUCCUGACCACUCCCACUGCUGUGAAGGUAGAGGGAAUCCCAGCCUGGAUCCACCACAGCCUUGUAAAACCUGCAGCGCCUGAAACCUGGGAGGCAAGACCAAGCCCGGACAACCCUUGCGGAGUGACCCUGAAGAAGACGACAAGCCCUACUCCAGUCACACCCGGAAGCUGACUGGUCCACGCACGGCCGAAGCAUGAGGAAUCUCAUCGUGGGAUUCAUUUUCUUAAAUUUUGGACUUAUACAGUAAGGGCUUCAACUGACCUUACUCAAACCGGUGACUGUUCCCAGUGUAUUCAUCAGGUCACUGAGGUAGGACAGCAAAUUAAAACAAUCUUCCUGCCGGGCGCGGUGGCUCAA